Molecule: ribosomal RNA, 701 nt
Filed under: uncultured fungus
Lineage: Eukaryota; Fungi
Description: Internal transcribed spacer
Rfam family: 5.8S ribosomal RNA (bases 52-205)
Source: RNAcentral
CGGGCACCAAACAAACAUAAUGUAAUGAAUGUUAUCUACUAUAAUAAAUACAACUUUCAACAACGGAUCUCUUGGCUCUCACAUCGAUGAAGAACGCAGCGAAAUGCGAUAAGUAAUGUGAAUUGCAGAAUUCAGUGAAUCAUCGAAUCUUUGAACGCAAAUUGCGCCCUUUGGUAUUCCGAAGGGCAUGCCUGUUUGAGUGUCUUAUAAACCUCACCCCUAAUGUUUUAUUACAAUAGGUUGGUGCUUUGGGUGUUGCCAUUUACCUGGCUCGCCUUAAAUGACUAAGUGGAAUGCGUAAUAAGUUCUCGCAACCCUCCACUCUAAUACAAUUUAUAUUCUGACCUCAAAUCAGGUAGGACUACCCGCUGAACUUAAGCAUAUCAAUAAGCGGACGAAUCUUGCUGAAAAACUCGAGCCAUCCGGAAGAUCUGGCGGCCGCUCUCCCUAUAGUGAGUCGUAUUACGCCGGAUGGAUAUGGUGUUCAGGCACAAGUGUUAAAGCAGUUGAUUUUAUUCACUAUGAUGAAAAAAGCAAUGAAUGGAACCUGCUCCAAGUUAAAAAUAGAGAUAAUACCGAAAACUCAUCGAGUAGAAAGAUUAGAGAUAAUACAACAAUAAAAAAUGGGUUAGAACUUAUCACAGCGUGAUGCUACUAAUUGGGACAAUUUUCCAGAUGAAGAUCAUCUAAAAAUUAAAUGA